RNAcentral lists this ribosomal RNA (443 nucleotides) under uncultured bacterium. Its description in RNAcentral is "partial 16S ribosomal RNA". It matches the Rfam family "Bacterial small subunit ribosomal RNA", at positions 338 to 795 of the family's 1533-position model. The record is from RNAcentral.
CCUACGGGUGGCUGCAGUGGGGAAUAUUGGGCAAUGGGCGCAACCCUGACCCAGCAACGCCGCGUGAAGGAAGAAGGCUCUCGGGUUGUAAACUUCUUUUAUUCGGGACGAUACUAAUGACGGUACCGAAUUAAGAAGCCACGGCUAACUACGUGCCAGCAGCCGCGGUAAUACGGAGGUGGCAAGCGUUAUCCGGAUUUACUGGGUGUAAAGGGCGUGUAGGCGGGAGAGCAAGUCAGACGUGAAAUUCCAGGGCUCAACCAUAGAACUGCGUUUGAAACUGUUCUUCUGGAGUGAUGGAGAGGCAGGCGGAAUUCCGGGUGUAGCGGUGAAAUGCGUAGAGAUACGGAGGAACACCAGUGGCGAAGGCGACCUGCUGGACAUUAACUGACGCUGAGGCGCGAAAGCGUGGGGAGCAAACAGGAUUAGAUACCCCGGUAGUC